AAAGGGGAUGUAGCUCAUCUGGUAGAGCGUUAAACAAUAAAUGAUGAUAAAGGCAGGGGUUCAACUCCUCGCAUCUCCACUAUUCUUUUUAAAAUCCAAUUUAAGAAAAAAAUAAGAAUGGCUACGAAUUUUUAAAAUCUCUACUACUCCUUAUGUUUGUAUCGUAGGCGUCCACAUCGAGAGGAUGGCGCACGGUUCUGCCGUCGCGCUCCCUCCACGCUCGAUCCUCAAAUCCCGCGGCUUUCUUCGAUGACAAUUUUUCCUUGGUUGGCCACCGUGAUCUCCUCCUCGAUCCAAAAUCUCUUCGCCCUGGCUCCCAUCGUGCAUGCGUCCAGGCUGUGCUACGAGUCGGGGGAGGCGGUCGCGGUCAACCUCGCCUUCGCACUCUCCCAUGUGCCCGACGAGAGCGUCUCUCCGGCCAACCCCCGCGACGGCGCGGGUGCAUCCGCGGCGGCCAUGGCGCGCGGGCGUGCCCGCACGUGGCUGGCGCGGCGUCCCCGGCCCCGACCACGGAGCGGGUGCGGGAGAUCCGGUCAUGGUGGCACCGGCCCCGAGCCCUAGCCCUGGAGGCGACGCAACAUUAAGCCCCGGCCAAACCGGUGGGCGCGGUCCCGACGACGGGCUCGAUCCCUGCGCAGGCGUGCCGGCCUUGCAUGGCCCCGGCGAGGGCGGCCCCUGCGCGGACGCGGCCCCCGGCCUCAGCCCCGGUGGCGGCGCGCUGCCCCACCGGCCCCCUCGCAGAUCCCAUCAACCGCUUUGAAGCUCCGCUCUGUGACCCGCGCUGUCAUCAACGUCGUCCUCCCCCCAGAUCUCGUGCAGACCGUCUCGCCUGCCAAUCCGGCGUCCACCGCCGAGGAGUACACGCACAUGGUCGCGCUCUCCAGACGGUUCGUCGCGCUCUCCAGACCGGUCGUCCCGCUCGCCGUCGGGACCACGCCCACCGCCGGGACAGCGUGCAGAUCGCUCUCUCCUGCCGCACCCAGCGCCCUGGACUCUGGAGGCUAUGGAGCCACAGGCAGACCAGACUACGGACCGUACGUACUACGCCGCCGUCUGUAUCCCUUGAAUGCAUCCACCUGUCGGUCCAUCCUGGCCGGGUACAGUGCAUCGGUUGCUGUCAGCCGCUAGAUGCGUGGCUGGUGAAUGGCGAUCUGAUUCCGACGCUGCUGCAGCAGCUUCAUUCCCUAGCGAACUCUGCAGGUAAAACCAUCGAGAAGAGGAAGCUGGUCAUUGAUGUCAAGUAUUUCUUCUUCUAUGUGCACUCGGAACCCCGCGACAUCUACGGAGAGACUUCAUGCCUAGCAACCGGAGACUUCAUGCUGUCCCUCGACUUUGCCACGAAUACCUUUUAUCAGAAAAAUGGGGGGAACAAUAAAGGAUGUUGGAAAAUGAAAUAUAUUAUUAUAGCUAAUAAAUUGGCUUUCCCGGAGGCACUAGGAUUUGGACCCAGCCAAGUGGCCAAGUGUAUGGAAGAAUCAUGUCGUGGCACAGACGACCAGUUGCUUGACUCUCCCUCUUCUGUCUUAUUACAUUUGUACGCAAGAUAUAGAUAGUACUACUAUACAGUGGAGUCUUCUUGCAGUUUGUCUAUUUUACACAACUGACAGUCUUCAGGUAUCUCAUUGUCUGUUCUCAGUUAGUUAUAUUAAUGAUGUUUACUAUUAAUUUUGACCAUCACAACUUUGACUUGUCCAGCUCUGCCUCUAUUAGUCGGUUCAGCUCUGCCUCUAUAAUUUUUUUGGUCCACUGUACAAUGGGCUCCUUUAUUACCUCCUUGAGAAUCCUUUUCAGUUUGGUCCACUGUCUCAUCAUCCAUCGAAUCACGGCCCAGGCACACAAUCUAAAAGGCAAAAUAAUUAUAGAGGCAGAGCUGGACAUAGUCUUCAGUUGAAUUUAAGGUUCCUCUUCCCUUGUUUGGAAGAGGUUAUGAUCAUUGUACGCUCUCGGCUCAAUGUUGAACACUCUUGAAAUACACUGUGAAGUUGCAGAGGAUGGUCAUCAGAAUCUCAAAGAUGAAGAAUUGCCAUAAAGGUGCUGAUGAGUUCUUUGAUGAUAUAUGUAAUUUCAAUUACAUGAACUACAAGAAAGUGCAAAUUGAAUAAGUGGAGAUGAUAUAGUAUUACAUAUUUAUAUCACCAAAAUAAUAUUAAUAUUAUGAUUAUAUUUUAUCA
Zea mays is the source of this 2171-nucleotide RNA transcript. RefSeq lists it as uncharacterized. Lineage: Eukaryota; Viridiplantae; Streptophyta; Magnoliopsida; Poales; Poaceae. The transcript has 3 exons. The record is from RefSeq and is a predicted model, not a curated record.